This 76-nucleotide transfer RNA is filed under the name Kiritimatiellia bacterium. RNAcentral's name for it is "Kiritimatiellae bacterium (gut metagenome) tRNA-Phe". It matches the Rfam family "tRNA". From Rfam's summary of the family: Transfer RNA (tRNA) molecules are approximately 80 nucleotides in length. Their secondary structure includes four short double-helical elements and three loops (D, anti-codon, and T loops). Lineage: Bacteria; Pseudomonadati; Kiritimatiellota; Kiritimatiellia. RNAcentral also lists the same sequence under 1 other name. The record is from RNAcentral.
GGCUAGGUAGCUCAGUUGGUAGAGCAGCGGACUGAAAAUCCGCGUGUCGCCGGUUCGAUCCCGGCCUUGGCCACCA